UACAUAGCUUAAUGAGGGGAACUCAGGGAACUGAAACAUCUAAGUACCUGAAGGAAGAGAAAGAAAUUCGAUUCCGUAAGUAGCGGCGAGCGAACGCGGAUUAGCCCAAACCAAUAAAGUUUUCUUUGUUGGGGUUGCGGACAUAUCAUAACGAAGAGGUAUCGUAAUUGAAGAGGUUUGGAAAGACCCACCACAGAAGGUAAUAGUCCUGUAUGUUAAACGAGAAGACUUUAGAUAUGAUCCAGAGUACCACGGGACACGUGAAACCCUGUGGGAAGCAGGAGGGACCACCCUCCAAGGCUAAAUACUACCUAGUGACCGAUAGCGUAUAGUACCGUGAGGGAAAGGUGAAAAGAACCCCGGGAGGGGAGUGAAAUAGAACCUGAAACCCUGCACUUACAAGCUGUGGAAGCACAUUUCUUGUGUGACCGCGUACUUUUUGUAGAACGGGCCAACGAGUUACGUUAAGUAGCAAGGUUAAGCACUUAAGGUGUGGAGCCGUAGCGAAAGCGAGUUUUAACUGAGCGUUCAGUUACUUGACGUAGAACCGAAACCGGGCGACCUACCCAUGAGCAGGAUGAAGCGAAAGUAAAAUUUCGUGGAGGUCCGAACCCACGAGCGUUGAAAAGCUCGGGGAUGACUUGUGGGUAGCGGUGAAAUUCCAAUCGAGCCCGGAGAUAGCUGGUUCUCCCCGAAAUAGCUUUAGGGCUAGCCUCAAGGUGAGAGAUACGGAGGUAGAGCACUGAAUGUCCUAGGGGGUAUUGCACCUACCGAAGACUAUCAAACUCCGAAUGCCGUCAUCUUAUACUUGGGAGUCAGACUGUGGGUGAUAAGAUUCAUAGUCGAAAGGGCAACAGCCCAGAUCGUCAGCUAAGGUCCCUAAAUGUAAGUUAAGUGGUAAAGGAUGUGGGAUUGCACAGACAACCAGGAUGUUGGCUUAGAAGCAGCCACUCAUUCAAAGAGUGCGUAAUAGCUCACUGGUCGAGUGAUCCUGCGCCGAAGAUUUCCGGGGCUAAAACUUACUACCGAAGCUACGGCAUCAGUAAUGAUGGGUAGGGGAGCUUCCCAUACGGGUUGAAGCAUGACCGUAAGGACAUG
RNAcentral lists this ribosomal RNA (1098 nucleotides) under Clostridioides difficile. Its description in RNAcentral is "bacterial LSU rRNA". It matches the Rfam family "Bacterial large subunit ribosomal RNA", at positions 163 to 1273 of the family's 2925-position model. The record is from RNAcentral. Lineage: Bacteria; Bacillati; Bacillota; Clostridia; Peptostreptococcales; Peptostreptococcaceae.